CAUGGAGCUUGGUGGAGGCAUCGGAUCCAAAGCCGGGGAUGUGCGCAGCAAAGUAGAAGGGAGCGAUCGGGAACUCCUCGCAGCAGACUUGAGCAACAGGUAUGGCUUUUGCUCGCAGCAGCUGCUCGUGACUGUGGAUCUUUGACGCGGUGGUCUGGUCCUUUGGCAUAUGGACGAACAGAACCGGAGGAUAAGUUGAAGCCGGGGCCAUCUUCGCUCGCUCCAGCGCCUUGUGGAGGCCCGGGGACACCAUCAAGACGAGCGCCGAGAACUUGAUGGUGAGCGCGAGCAUGGAGAGGAA
This 301-nucleotide long non-coding RNA is filed under the name Selaginella moellendorffii. RNAcentral's name for it is "long non-coding RNA (SMOE_LNC000516)". The record is from RNAcentral. Lineage: Eukaryota; Viridiplantae; Streptophyta; Lycopodiopsida; Selaginellales; Selaginellaceae.